GGAUUCCCCUAGUAACUGCGAGUGAAGCGGGAAGAGCUCAAAUUUAAAAUCUGGCGUGCCUCUGGUCGUCCGAGUUGUAGUCUGGAGAAGCGUUUUCCGUGUUGGACCGUGUAUAAGUCUCUUGGAACAGGGCGUCAUAGAGGGUGAGAAUCCCGUCUUUGACACGGACUACCAAUGCUUUGUGAUGCGCUCUCAAAGAGUCGAGUUGUUUGGGAAUGCAGCUCAAAAUGGGUGGUAAAUUCCAUUAAAGCUAA
Molecule: ribosomal RNA, 254 nt
Filed under: uncultured Thelephoraceae
Lineage: Eukaryota; Fungi; Basidiomycota; Agaricomycetes; Thelephorales; Thelephoraceae
Description: partial large subunit ribosomal RNA
Rfam family: Eukaryotic large subunit ribosomal RNA
Source: RNAcentral